This is a long non-coding RNA of Spinacia oleracea (spinach), 1144 nucleotides long. RefSeq lists it as uncharacterized. The record is from RefSeq and is a predicted model, not a curated record. The transcript has 3 exons. Lineage: Eukaryota; Viridiplantae; Streptophyta; Magnoliopsida; Caryophyllales; Amaranthaceae.
UAUAGUCUGGACAGUAUUUUUUAUUGCUUUCGUUCCUAAAUAAUAGUUGUUGAUUUCUUUGCGAGAGAUAACAUGUUCCAACUUUACGACAUUGACUUUGUUUUUUCGGCCUUUGACCAUCACGUGCAGGUCAUAUGUUAUCAUACUUUGGAUGUUUUCACCCUUUUUCCUCCAAUUCCUACACAUAAAUAUGAGUAUCAAAAACAAACCAAAACAAAAAUCCCCUCUAUUUCUUCACCCCAAAUCCAGAAUAUCGAAAAAUAAAUAAACUCUUCAUCCUAAAUUGAUCACAUGCAAGGUCAAAAGAUGGAUUUUUUUUCUCUAAUCAAUCAUUCCCCAUCAGAAUUCGAGUGUGUUCAUCCACAAUUUGGACUUGGAGGAAAAGGGGUGAAAAUAGCAAAAAAUGAUAACAUGUGACUUGCACGUGAUGGUCAAAGGCCGGAAAUCAAAGUCAAUGCCAAAAAGUGGGAACGGGCCGGUUGUCUUUCGUAAAGAAAUUUUAGUGUAAGGUACAUUCAGGUGAACUGUUUUUUGGUGUUACCACCUCGUUCAUAGGGUUAAUCCGGAUUCGAGACGUGUUAUGGGUGGGUAGGUUCCAGUCCCCUCCUAAUUAUUGUUAAGGGAUCGAACACGCGAUCCACCCUACCAAAUCCAGCCCCAAUCACUAAGACGCUACUGAACCAACAUGCAAUUAGUACAUCCAGGUGAACUGUAACUUUGUAAGAUAUAUUUUGUAAGAUAAUAGUUCGAUUGUACGUACGGAGUAGAAUAGUUCGUAUGUUAUACUUCCUAUGUUCUUUUUAAAAUGACACAAUUAUUUAGGCACGUUUGCCAAUGCACGAUUUCAAACAUAAAUAUAUCUUCUAUUAUGGAAGAAAAAAAUUACAAAAAGUUGAUAUUUAAAUAAUAUUUAUUGAGACGAAUCUAAUAAGACCACACACGACUAUGUUUUUUCUUAUGUAUAAAUCACAAAAGGAAGUUAAAGUAACUUGUGAGAAUAGCGUCAAAAAUCCAACAGUUUCAUAUAAAUAAGAACAGAGAAAGUAUAAAGAAACUUUUUGGCUCCAAAUCUCCAAUAGUGUCAAAGGGUUAAGGGCUACAUGGUAAUUGCAUUGAACCCUUUUUUUUAAUUAUUAUUAUUAUU